This 433-nucleotide ribosomal RNA is filed under the name uncultured bacterium. RNAcentral's name for it is "partial 16S ribosomal RNA". It matches the Rfam family "Bacterial small subunit ribosomal RNA", at positions 29 to 507 of the family's 1533-position model. The record is from RNAcentral.
AACGAACGCUGGCGGCAUGCCUAACACAUGCAAGUCGAACGAGACCUUCGGGUCUAGUGGCGCACGGGUGCGUAACGCGUGGGAACCUGCCCUUAGGUUCGGAAUAACUCCCCGAAAGGGGUGCUAAUACCGGAUAAUGUCUUCGGACCAAAGAUUUAUCGCCUUUGGAUGGGCCCGCGUUGGAUUAGCUAGUUGGUAGGGUAAAAGCCUACCAAGGCGAGGAUCCAUAGCUGGUCUGAGAGGAUGAUCAGCCACACUGGAACUGGGACACGGCCCAGACUCCUGCGGGAGGCAGCAGUGGGGAAUAUUGGACGAUGGUGGAUAGCCUGAUCCAGCAAUGCCGGGUGAGUGAUGAAGGCCUUAGGGUUGUAAAGCUCUUUUACCCGGGAUGAUAAUGACAGUACCGGGAGAAUAAGCUCCGGCUAACUCCGUG